UACGGGGGGGGUAAGCGUUGUUCGGAAUUCCUGGGCGUAAAGGGCUCGUAGGCGGCCAACUAAGUCAGACGUGAAAUCCCUCAGCUUAACUGGGGAACUGCGUCUGAUACUGGAUGGCUUGGAUUUGGGAGAGGGAUGCGGAAUUCCAGGUGUAGCGGUGAAAUGCGUAGAUAUCUGGAGGAACACCGGUGGCGAAGGCGGCAUCCUGGACCAAUAUUGACGCUGAGGAGCGAAAGCCAGGGGAGCAAACGGG
This 253-nucleotide ribosomal RNA is filed under the name uncultured bacterium. RNAcentral describes it as "partial 16S ribosomal RNA". It matches the Rfam family "Bacterial small subunit ribosomal RNA", at positions 524 to 776 of the family's 1533-position model. The record is from RNAcentral.